CGCCAGAUUAAAACUCAAAGGAAUUGACGGGGACCCGCACAAAGCGGUGGAUGAUGUGGAUUAAUUCGAUGCAACGCGAAAAANCCUUACCUACCCUUGACAUGUACGGAAGCCACGAGAGAUCGAGGCGUGCUCGAAAGAGAGCCGUAACACAGGUGCUGCAUGGCUGUCGUCAGCUCGUGUCGUGAGAUGUUGGGUUAAGUCCCGCAACGAGCGCAACCCUUGUCAUUAGUUGCUACGAAAGAGCACUCUAAUGAGACUGCCGGUGACAAACCGGAGGAAGGUGGGGAUGACGUCAAGUCCUCAUGGCCCUUAUGGGUAGGGCUUCACACGUCAUACAAUGGUACAUACAGAGGGCCGCCAACCCGCGAGGGGGAGCUAAUCCCAGAAAGUGUAUCGUAGUCCGGAUUGUAGUCUGCAACUCGACUACAUGAAGUUGGAAUCGCUAGUAAUCGCGGAUCAG
RNAcentral lists this ribosomal RNA (463 nucleotides) under uncultured bacterium. RNAcentral's name for it is "bacterial SSU rRNA". It matches the Rfam family "Bacterial small subunit ribosomal RNA", at positions 887 to 1352 of the family's 1533-position model. The record is from RNAcentral.